RNAcentral lists this ribosomal RNA (253 nucleotides) under uncultured bacterium. Its description in RNAcentral is "partial 16S ribosomal RNA". It matches the Rfam family "Bacterial small subunit ribosomal RNA", at positions 524 to 776 of the family's 1533-position model. The record is from RNAcentral.
UACGUAGGGUGCGAGCGUUAAUCGGAAUUACUGGGCGUAAAGCGUGCGCAGGCGGUGAUGUAAGACAGAUGUGAAAUCCCCGGGCUCAACCUGGGAACUGCAUUUGUGACUGCAUCGCUGGAGUGCGGCAGAGGGGGAUGGAAUUCCGCGUGUAGCAGCGAAAUGCGUAGAUAUGCGGAGGAACACCGAUGGCGAAGGCAAUCCCCUGGGCCUGCACUGACGCUCAUGCACGAAAGCGUGGGGAGCAAACAGG